UUGUGUUGUGCCGGAUUAAACGGAUUACAUUGAUGUUGUAAAAUAUGAGCGUUGCUCCAACAUU
RNAcentral lists this transfer RNA (64 nucleotides) under Emplectonema gracile. RNAcentral's name for it is "tRNA-Ile". The record is from RNAcentral. Lineage: Eukaryota; Metazoa; Nemertea; Enopla; Monostilifera; Emplectonematidae.